This is a non-coding RNA of Camellia sinensis, 2819 nucleotides long. The record is from RefSeq and is a predicted model, not a curated record. Lineage: Eukaryota; Viridiplantae; Streptophyta; Magnoliopsida; Ericales; Theaceae.
CUUAUCACUCAGUCUCUCUUCAUUCUUGUUCAUCUCCCAACUCUGCUCUCUCUCUCUCUCUACCCAACACUCUAUCUAUCUUAUCUCUCCAAUGCCUCUCCAGAACCAAUUUUCAUCUGUCUCCCUCGCCCUCACCAUCUCCAUUCUUCCUCACUCACUCUCUUCCUCUAUGUCUCAUCUUCUUCAUCACUAUAACCACAGGAACCACCAAUACACCCACUGACGAUCUCCAACCCUCAAACCCUAAAUGUCCUUCUCUCUUCUCCAACCCUCUUUUCCUUCUGUCUCUCACCUUCUUCAUCACUGCAACCACCACCAUAACCACAAAAACCAUCACCACCACAACCAAUAGAACCACCACCACACCCGUCGUCGAUCUCCAACUCUCAAACCCUUCGGAUCCUUCUCUCUUCUUCAACCCUCUUCUCCACCACAACCCUCCAUCUCUCACAUUCUUCCUCUUCAAUCUCUCUCUUCCUAUAUUCUAAACCGCCAAUCCCCAACGAUUGAAAUCCUAACCCUAACCAAAAUGAUCCUCUUUCUCCCUCUAUUCUAAACCUCUUCUCCAACGAUCCUUCUCUAUCAGUGAUGAUCCAAACCCGAAACCCUAAUGAAGACCAUCCAAAGAACACAAAGAAGAUCAACCUUCUCUGUCAGGAUGAUGAGAAAGAAAGGAAUGGGCUAAUCUCCAACCCUCAAACCCUUUGAAUCCUUCUCUCUUCUCCAACCCUCUUCUCCACCACAACCUCUUAUCUCUCACAUUCUUUCUCUUUGAUCUCUCUCUCACUCCGUUCUAAACCGCCGAUCUCCAACGAUUGAAACCCUAACCCUAACCAAAAUGAUCCUCUCUCACCCUCUUCGAUCUAUCUCUCCCUAUAGUCUAAACCUCUUCUCCAACAAUCCCUCUCUGUCAGUGAUAAUCCAAACCCAAAACCCUAAUGAAGACCAUCCAAAGAACACAAAAAAGAUCAACCUUCUCUAUCAGGAAGGAUGAUGAGAAAGAAAGGGAUGGGCCGAUCUCCAACCUCAAACCCUUCGAAUCAUUCUCUUUUCUUAAACCCUCUUCUCCACCACAACUCUCCAUCUCUCACCUUUUUUCUCUUCGAUCUCUCUGUCACUCCGUUCCAAACCGUCGAUCUCCAACGAUUAAAACCCUAACCCUAACCAAAAUGAUCCUCUCUCUCCCUCUUCGAUCUAUCUCUCCCUCUAUUCUAAACCUCUUAUUCAACGAUCCCUCUCUGUCAGUGAUGAUCCAAACCCAAAACCCUAAUGAAGACCAUCCAAAGAACACAAAAAAAAUCAACCUUCUCUAUCAGGAAGGAUGAUAAGAAAGAAAGGAAUAGGCCGAUCUCCAACCCUCAAACCCUUCGGAUCCUUCUCGCUUCUCAAAACCCUCUUCUCCACCAUAACUCUCCAUCUCUUACCUUCUUCCUCUUCGAUCUCGCUCUCACUCCAUUCUAAACUGUCGAUCUCCAACGAUUGAAACCCUAACCCUAACCAAAAUGAUCCUCUCUCUCCCUCUUCGAUCUAUCUCUCCCUCUAGCCUAAACCUCUUCUUCAACGAUCCCUCUCUGUCAGUGAUAAUCCAAACCCGAAACCCUAAUGAAGACCAUCCAAAGAACAUUAAAAAGAUCAACCUUCUCUAUUAGGAUGAUGAGAAAGGAAGGAAUGGAGGAAGGAAACGGUUGGUUUUGGUGACUUGGCAAAGCUUGUGCCAUAUUUGACACAAGCUUUGGCAUUUGCUAAAGAUAGUAGCUGCCAAAACUUACCAUUGAAGGUGAAUUUCUAUGAACUAUUGCCAUAAUUAGGUAAUAAUAGCUUCAACAACUUGUUAUUGGAGAUGCUCUUAGGGUUUGAGAAAUAAUAUAUAUACUUAGGUAGUUGGGUCAUUUUACAAGAGGUUGUCCUUAUAGAUAAAGUAUUUUAGAAUGUGAAUGCUUAACUAAAGAAAAUCCAAAAUUGAAUUUAUGAAUAGAGUACUCUUUUGGGGGGUCAUUUUACAAGAGGUUGUCCUUAUGAAUAAAAUAUUUUAGAAUGUGAAUCUUUAACUAAAAAAAAAAUCCAAGGGGCAAAUAAGCCAAAUAAGUCAAAUAAAUUAUAAUAUAAAAUUGCAAUCAAAUAUCACUAAGACUUUUUUUAGUUAAACAAAUUAAAUAAGUUGACUUCUAAAUGCUACCACAUACACUAGUUGUAAAGUAGUUGUUGUUUUUUUUGUUUUUUUAAUUUUUUGAGGCCUAUGGUCAAAAACUUAGGGCUCAUGCCAUAUUUAAUGGGCUUGACUCAAAGGCAAUUCAUUUUUUGUUGACAAAAAAGAAAAAAAAAAAAUUUGGCUAACCAAAAAUAGAAAAUAAAAAAUAUAUAUUUUCUUUAAAACAAACGGAGCUUUAACAAAGAAGUGAGGAAGAUGAGUAAUAGUCUUUAACCCAUCGUCUAAAGGUUAUUAUAAAAAAUUUAUAAAGAAAAUGAUAUUUACUGUAAAUGUAACAAAACGACCCUCAUAUAUGCUUGUGAUAUACGUCCGUCCUUUAUUCUGUGCUAUUAAAUGUCUAAACUAAAAUUGUCCAAGGGAAUAAGUUCAAGUAACUAUGGUGUGAUGCCUUAUGAAAUGAAUUGUAUCUAUUAAGAAAGAACUGUAUCUGUUAUUACUAGAACGAUAAAGUAGGAAUUGAAGGCCUUAGCGGCUCAAUAAGCCAAAAUUGAUCAUAUAUUUAGAACCAGCAUAAUUUUUAGGUAAUAUUAAGCACUUUUGUGAAAUUUCAAUUUUCGGAUGUGUAAACGAUUGAUUUUCGUCUCAUUCUCUCCAUAAGGAUAUAUAUAUA